Molecule: microRNA precursor, 98 nt
Filed under: Chlorocebus sabaeus (green monkey)
Lineage: Eukaryota; Metazoa; Chordata; Mammalia; Primates; Cercopithecidae
Description: miRNA (ENSCSAG00000024848.1)
Source: RNAcentral
CGCCCACCUCGGCCUCCCAAAGUGCUGGGAUUACAGGUGUGAGCCACCGCACCCAGUGAACCCUGGAAAUAAUUCUAUCCAGUUCUUUCAUUUUGCAG